UCCCUACGGGACGCAGCAGUGAGGAAUAUUGGUCAAUGGGCUUACGCCUGAACCAGCCAAGUCGCGUGAGGGAAGACUGCCCUAUGGGUUGUAAACUUCUUUUGUCAGGGAGCAAUUGGCGCUACGUGUAGCGUUAUCGAGAGUACCUGAAGAAAAAGCAUCGGCUAAAUCCGUGUCAGCAGACGCGGUAAUACGGAGGAUGCGAGCGUUAUCCGGAUUUAUUGGGUGUAAAGGGUGCGUAGGCGGAGUGCCAAGU
RNAcentral lists this ribosomal RNA (256 nucleotides) under uncultured bacterium. RNAcentral's name for it is "partial 16S ribosomal RNA". It matches the Rfam family "Bacterial small subunit ribosomal RNA", at positions 337 to 588 of the family's 1533-position model. The record is from RNAcentral.